Molecule: non-coding RNA, 68 nt
Organism: Diaporthe citri
Lineage: Eukaryota; Fungi; Ascomycota; Sordariomycetes; Diaporthales; Diaporthaceae
Source: the annotation of a RefSeq genome assembly
GAUUUUAUAGUUUAAUGGUUAGAAUACUUUAUUAAAGAAAGGCUUAGGUUUGAUUCCUAAUAGGAGCG